This 452-nucleotide ribosomal RNA is filed under the name uncultured Methylomirabilota bacterium. RNAcentral's name for it is "bacterial SSU rRNA". It matches the Rfam family "Bacterial small subunit ribosomal RNA", at positions 982 to 1431 of the family's 1533-position model. The record is from RNAcentral. Lineage: Bacteria; Methylomirabilota (SeqCode).
UGACAUCCCAACGAACCUGCCGAAAGGCAGGAGUGCCCGCAAGGGAGCGCGGAGACAGGUGGUGCAUGGCUGUCGUCAGCUCGUGUCGUGAGAUGUUGGGUUAAGUCCCGCAACGAGCGCAACCCUUGCCCCUUGUUGCCAUCAGGUCAUGCUGGGCACUCUAGGGGAGCUGCCCCGGUUAACGGGGAGGAAGGCGGGGAUGACGUCAAGUCAUCAUGCCCCUUACGCCCUGGGCUACACACGUGCUACAAUGGCCGGUACAAAGGGAUGCAAUACCGCGAGGUGGAGCUAAACCCAAAAAGCCGGUCUAAGUUCAGAUUGGAGUCUGCAACUCGACUCCAUGAAGGAGGAAUCGCUAGUAAUCGCGUAUCAGCACGACGCGGUGAAUACGUUCCCGGGCCUUGUACACACCGCCCGUCACACCACGAAAGUCAGCUGUACUCGAAGUCGCU